AAUCAAUAAACCUUACAGUCCGAGACGCCCAAAGUGACACUGUAGAUCGCAAAAUUUGGGUUUUCUGCUCCUGUUCACCAUUCCAAAACUUCCAUCCCGUUUCCCUUUUCCUCGUUUCUUUCAUUCCUUUUCCUGUUUUGUUUGGAUCCAUUUAAUGCCUUUUCCAUUCUGACAGUUCUCACAGGCUUUUCUUCUAACGCGCCCCGAGUGUUACUUAAUUUCUUUGUUUCCUUCCUCAGGUCUCCUUCGUUCCCUUUUCAUUCUGUAAGCUUUUCUCGUUCUCCUUUUGGGUUUGUCUGGAUUCGGCGGAAAGGUUUGUGCAGAAAACUUUCGAUUUCUAUCUCCUUUUCAAUUUCCUUUUCGAUUUCCUUUGUCUCCUUUUUGAUAUAUAUGGAUGGGUUUGGGUUUCGUUUUCAUUCAUUCGCUUUCUCCCUCUCUCGCUCUCUCUUUCUUUGUUGUUUGUUUUGGGGUUGUCUCAGAUGGCUGGUAGGUUUGUGCGAUGCAGUGCCCGGAAGAACUUCCUGACGUUUCAAGGUCUGGGUCGCAAGGAUUUGGGAGGUAACUGGUUAUCUGAGUUCGUCUUGAUUCCAAGUGCCGGGAAGAACUACUUGGCGUUUCAAGGUCAGGGUUACAAGGAUUUGGGAGGUGACUGGUUAUCUGAGGGAAUGGUUCUUCUUGAUGCUAAGAGAUAUCAAACCAGAUAAUUUCCUCUGGGUUUGAUUGUUUGUCCGAUGUUGUUCCUGGGAGAACUACUUGGGGGUUCAAGAUCCGGAUUUCUAAGCUUUUGGAGGUUCAAGAUCCAGAUUUCUAAGCUUUGGGAGGUUGUUUUAUUCUACUUCGGUUGAAAUGGUUCUUGUUGAUACUAAGAGGAGUUUAUGUCCGACCUAUUUGUGCAUACAAGGUGAGUUUUGCUUAACAACCAUUCUCUUUUAAGGUUGCUGUUUUGAUUGUUUUUAUCAUGUGAUCAAAGCAUUCUUACCAUCAAUAAAAAGUCUUGUGUUUUCCUGUUGGCUUGAUCGUGAUUUUGUUGUUCCAUUUUUUGUACGAUGCGGUGCCAGGAAGAACUUUUUGGCGUUUCAAGGUUAGGGUUACAAGGAUUUGGGAGGUGACUGGUUAUCUGAGGGAAUGGUUCUUCUUGAUGGUAAGGGUGGAAAAAUUCACACUACUGUUCGGAAGCAGCUGCUAUACCUGUUUCAGAGGAAGUUGGAGGAAAGGCUUGUCUAUGUUUUGUUUGUGGUUGAUGCCAAGGAUUUGAUUUUAAUUCUUUGUUUCAUUUCAAGCUUCCAUGAUUAAAGUUACACUAUAGACCAUCUGGUACCAUUCUUGCUUUUGAUUGUUUGCUCUAAAUCUCCAGGUACGCCACGUCGUUUGGGUUAUUCAUUCAUUCAUUCUUCAAUCUGAUAGAAAAUCAUGAAAUUUAUCAGAGUAUUUAUGUUUGUUUUUCGCAUACUUUGCAAGAUUUACAUUUUUUCUUGAUUUAACAAUUUCAUGAAAUUUGACUAGCUUGAAAGCUUAUGCAUGAGUGAUUUUGAGGUUUCAUUGCUUAUUUGAUUGAUAUAGUUAGAUUAUGAUGGCUUCAACUGUUCUCAAUUUCGUUAAUACUACAUUAGAUUGGGUUACACAUGCUUUGGAACCUGAGAGACUGCUUCCUCCGUUGAUGCUUUGCAGUUUGGGCUUUGCACUAGGAUGUGCCUACCCAGCACUUUUUUUUUUUUUUUUUCUGCAGUGUUCUCUCCUGCUAUCUGUGAUUCGUUUUCCUCCUCUUUUGCUGUUUUUGUUUUUUAUUGCUUCUUUAUAGGUGUUUCGGUUGCUGUUGAUUCAUCUUCCAGGGCGUUUCCUUUUUGUGUUUCCCUGUUCUUGUACUUUUAUCCCAUCAAGCACUUCUUCUGCUUUUGGGUUUUAUUCAAUAAAAUUUGCCUAUUAAAAAAAAAGGCUUUUGUUUAGUUCAACUCUUGGAGCAAUUGCAGGUGUUACUGGUGUUGUUUGGGUUAUUGCACAAAAUGCUUGGCAUUGGGGAUUUUUCAUAAUAAUUAUUGCUUUUAAACAACUACAAUUUAAAUAAAUUCAUCUACCAUAUGCUUAUGAUAAAAUAAAUAUUUACAAAACUUGGGUUGAAGAAUACGAUUGUGAGGAUGGUGUUAGAUUCCAGGUAUGGUUCUGGAUGUAUGUUCUGCAUAUAUACAAGGAUUUUGAUGAAUUGGGUAUACAGAUCCUUAUGAGGUCAAUGAUUCUUCUUUUGUUAAUGUUCAUUUCCCUGUUUAUUUUAUUGCUGAUUUUGUCCAUAUGGUUGAUUUUAUCAGAGGUUUACUCAGACAAUUAGGGGAAUACAGGGUGCCAUGAUUAUAAGCGGAAGUUUCCAAAUGGUUAUGGGAUUCUUAGGCUUAUGGAGAAAUGCUGCCAGAUUCCUUAGCCCACUUUGUGGUGUCCCUUGUGUAACUUUCACUGGACUUGGUCUCUAUCAUCUUGGUUUCCCUAUGGUAUAAAUUAUUAUGCAAGUUUGUAUUCAAGAGGAUUGUAUUCUUGUAUCUUACUUUUAUUGUUUCAUGUAAUUUAGUUUCUAUAAGUUUAGUACGUGAGUUGAGGAUUAUAAGUUUAUAUGAUAUGAUUCUUGUACUCUAAUUAUUCCAAUCACUGUUGCAUCUGGCAUCAGCUGUUGAAGUUGGGCUUCCAGGACUAAUUUCGAUGGUUUUCAUCUCUCAGGCAAGUAUAAUGAUUUUAAAUCCAUGAUAUAAUUAUCUUAAAUUUAGAUUCUAAUGCUAAAUCUAAAUGUGUUUAUUGUGUUAUACGAUACCGCGGUAUCUUCAUCGUUAUAUAAGCACCAAGAAGCCUACAUUUGACCGAUUCACAGUUCUAUUUUCCAUCGCAAUUGCUUGGUUAUUUGCACAGCUUCUUACUUCAGGCACUGCAUAUAACAACAAGCCAGAAUUCACACAAAAUAGUUGUCGCAAUGAUCGGGCUGGUCUUAUUAGUUCUGCUCCAUGGUUUGCACAGCCAAAAUGAAUUUGAGUGAUGAGGUGGACCUAGAGGAUUAUGUUUCCCGUCCUGACAAAAUUAGUGCUGCUGAGAUUUCUGCUAUUUGUCAAGAAGCGGGAAUGCAUGCUGUUCGUAAGAAUAGAUAUGUCAUACUGCCAAAGGACUUUGAGAAGGGUUACAGGACCAACGUGAAGAAGCCUGAUACUGACUUUGAAUUUUACAAGUGAUGAUGGGGUUUAAUCUCAUUUGUUUGUGUACGUACGUAUGGUGCAGAAUAUAGUUAAAGAUUACAUUUUCUAGAGUAAUUGUGGGUCAUCAAUGUUUAACAGAAAAAUGGUGAAAUGUUUCUGAUUCGUGCAUACUUUUCAUCUUAUUAUGUAAUGCAGAUUAAUUUAACUUAACGAUUAGAUUUAUUGUGACAGCUUAA
Trifolium pratense (red clover) is the source of this 3400-nucleotide RNA transcript. RefSeq lists it as uncharacterized. The transcript has 9 exons. NCBI's taxonomy places the organism in Eukaryota, Viridiplantae, Streptophyta, Magnoliopsida, Fabales, Fabaceae. The record is from RefSeq and is a predicted model, not a curated record.